This 198-nucleotide RNase P RNA is filed under the name Pseudobutyrivibrio sp. Its description in RNAcentral is "partial RNase P RNA component class A". It matches the Rfam family "Bacterial RNase P class A", at positions 1 to 201 of the family's 367-position model. From Rfam's summary of the family: Ribonuclease P (RNase P) is a ubiquitous endoribonuclease, found in archaea, bacteria and eukarya as well as chloroplasts and mitochondria. Its best characterised activity is the generation of mature 5'-ends of tRNAs by cleaving the 5'-leader elements of precursor-tRNAs. The record is from RNAcentral. Lineage: Bacteria; Bacillati; Bacillota; Clostridia; Lachnospirales; Lachnospiraceae.
GGGGCUAGAUGAGUAGUCGCUGCCUUACUGUAAUGGUAGGGGAGAGGAAAGUCCGGGCUUCACAGGGCAAGGAUGCCAGCUAACGGCUGGUGGAGGUAACUCCAAGGAUAGUGCAACAGAAAGAAACCGCUCAUAGCAAUAUGAGCAAGGGUGGAAAGGCGGUGUAAGAGACCACCGUACCGUUGGUAACAACGGUAG